This 372-nucleotide ribosomal RNA is filed under the name uncultured organism. RNAcentral describes it as "bacterial SSU rRNA". It matches the Rfam family "Bacterial small subunit ribosomal RNA", at positions 526 to 896 of the family's 1533-position model. The record is from RNAcentral.
CAGAGGUCCCAAGCGUUGUUCGGAUUCACUGGGCGUAAAGGGUGCGUAGGUGGCCAGGUAAGUUUGGUGUGAAAGCUCGGAGCUUAACUCCGAAAAGUCAUUGAAUACUAUCUGGCUGGAGGGUCGGAGGGGAGACUGGAAUUCUCGGUGUAGCAGUGAAAUGCGUAGAUAUCGAGAGGAACACCAGUGGCGAAGGCGAGUCUCUGGACGACUCCUGACACUGAGGCACGAAAGCCGGGGGAGCAAACAGGAUUAGAUACCCUGGUAGUCCCGGCUGUAAACGGUGCACGUUUGCUGUAAGAGGAAUCGACCCCUUUUGUAGCGAAGCUAACGCGCUAAACGUGCCGCCUGGGGAGUACGGUCGCAAGAUUA